This 311-nucleotide ribosomal RNA is filed under the name Biomphalaria straminea. RNAcentral describes it as "partial 16S ribosomal RNA". Lineage: Eukaryota; Metazoa; Mollusca; Gastropoda; Planorbidae. The record is from RNAcentral.
UUUAAAUGGCCGCAGUACCUUGACUGUGCUAAGGUAGCAUAAUCAAUUGGCUUCUAAUUAAAGUCUGGAAUGAAAGGAAAUAUGAAGUAAUUCUGUCUUAAAAGAUUUUUUUUGAAUUUAUUUAAAUGAUGAAAAUAUCAUUUUGUAGAAAAAAGACGAGAAGACCCUUAGAGUUUUGAUAUUAUUAUAUUUUUGUUGGGGCGACAGGUAAACACUAUAACUUUACGAAAUAUUAUUGAUCGAUUUUUUAUAAAAAUAAUAAAACUACCUUAGGGAUAACAGCAUUAUAUAUUUUUUAUGAUUGUGACCUC